GUGAAAUCAAAUGGCUCCCCUCCAGCCUUUCUCUUCUGUGUACAUUCUGGAGUCAUCACUGUGUUACAGCCACGGUUCCUCUGACUUCAACACUCAUCUCGCCCUCCUGUUAUGAAAGUAAACAACCAAUGUGUGUUAAUGCCCUCUCUGUGCUGGAAUGCUGGUGCUCAGGGGUGGUUCCCCAGACCAGCAGCAUCAGCAGUGGCUGAGUACUUCUGUUAGAAAUGCCAAUCAGAAACUCCGGGGGCGGAAUCCAGCCAUCUGUGUUUCAACAAGCCCAGGAGAUUCCCACAAGGAGCAUUUCCUGGAAGCAGAACUUGUCUCUCACUGAAACAGGACGUGACUAUGAGGCGUGUUCCAAUUUCAGCUGUUGGCGCCCCGGCUGCCAGGAGGAAGCCACAGCCCCAGCCCCAUCCUUGGUGGAGAGUGCCGGAGAGCGUGGCCGCUUCCUGAGGCCGGCAGAGCAUUCCAGUCUUCCUCACGCAGUCUUAGCCGUCAGACUGGGGACUAACCCUACUUGGAGUCGAUAUUCCUGCAAGAAACCUUCACUUAGGAAGUUUGAUCUUUGCCACAUCACAGAGACGGGGAGAGAGUAGGCCUUAGUUUUCACCUGUGGCUUAAUAUUAAUAUGUAAAUAUAUGAAAGAGAAAGCAGAAAUUGAGUGGACCCAGCCACCUGAGACCUUGGGGUCUUUAUUUAUUCCAGUAUUAAUUGUUUUUAUGAGAGGAUUAUUCAGCUGCACACACUGAAAGGACAGAGGACAGAAGGCUCCAUUUACCUAGGCUCCAUAUAAUCAAAAUGCAAGGAGUUUUAGCAUUUUUCUAACACCGAAAGAAACCUUGGCUAAGGUAUUUUAAAGCAAAAAUUAGCAACAUUGCUUGAAUCUUAGAUUAGAUAGAAGGAUUUAACGCCCCUGAAAGAACUCUCAGGCAUUUAUCCAGUGGUCUGUGGGUAAACCUCCAGUCAGCUUUUUGAGGGGAAAUUGGGAAGUAGAAGUGAAUUGCUGUUUUUUAAAACUCCCUCAUAUUCCAUAAUCCACAAUUCCAUUUUCCUGGGGUGCUUUGUAGAAUAUGUCUUAUCCUGCUCUAAAGGGUGUCUUUCACUGUUAAAAGUUGAGUGUUUCCUUGGUGACUAGAGUGGCACUUUUUCUCGUGAGCCUGUCUCCUCGUAGGACCUUGGUGACAGGGGUUGGUGAAUGGUUGUCUUUCUUGGAUUAUCUUAUUGCUGGUAUAGUUCAGAAUCGUGGAACUGUUUAUAACUAAAAGAGACUUUCAGGGAUGACAGUCUGAAUUCUUUUAUUUUCAAACAAGAAAACCAAGUCCAGAAAGUUUGUGUGACUUGCCCAAGGUCACAGAGUCUUGCCCAAGGUCACAGGAAGGCAGCUGUGACAAGAAUUCAAGCUUCUCCACUCUCAGUCAAGGACUGAGGACAUCACCCUAUUGCUUUGCUAGUUCUUUUGGUUUUUAAUACCUGAAAUUCUUUACCCUCUCGGGACUUGCCGGAGCGUUUGGCCAACCUGGUACAGAUAACAGGCUUUUUCUCAAGCAAUGAGGUUUUGAUCCUAUCAGAGAACACCCAGACGGGGAGCGAGCUCUCUGCUCCCAGGGGUGGACACAGAUUAGAUAGACAUUUGGAAGGCUGGACGCCCGGAAGGAAAGGUGACACAUUACAGGGUUCGGGCUGCCCUUAUUACUAAGCAUUCUGAUGGCGUUCUGAUUCCUGAUGGCAUCCUGCAGGAGAGAGAGAGAGCUCUUUCCUAUUGACUCUGAUUUGUCUCCACAG
Molecule: long non-coding RNA, 1782 nt
Organism: Equus caballus (horse)
Lineage: Eukaryota; Metazoa; Chordata; Mammalia; Perissodactyla; Equidae
Source: Ensembl